Long non-coding RNA from Cynoglossus semilaevis (tongue sole), 1063 nucleotides. RefSeq lists it as uncharacterized. The transcript is spliced from 3 exons. The record is from RefSeq and is a predicted model, not a curated record. Lineage: Eukaryota; Metazoa; Chordata; Actinopteri; Pleuronectiformes; Cynoglossidae.
UAAUGUAUUUGUUGUAAUAUCGCUGUUGGUUACGGUUACAAUUAUUUUUGUCUUUUUUGACAAACUGCACAUUUAACUGCGAUUUUUAAAUAUGAAAAAAUAACAAGCGUUUCUAACUUACUCUCAAAGUAGGUGGUAACAGUGGUAACACAACGUAGCAUAAAGCAACAUACAAUAGUUUAAUCGAUCACCCCUUCCUUUCUCUGGCCAUAUCUUACAGCUUAGUUGCAGCACCGCACAACAGCUAAAGGCAGCCAACAGAGGGCGCCCUUUCAUCAAAGUAUAAGGCCGAACGUUGACUGAAGUCAAGCCACAAGCUCUGAAGAUGUACGGCUGCUUAUACUUGGACUAGUCUUGAGGAAGAGUUCUGAAGAAGAUGUAGCAGACUUUCAUCCCAUCCCAACAACACACUGGGUAAUAUCAAUCACAGCACUCUAAACACUCCACGGGCCGGACUUCAUGUUAAUAUCAAUAAGGAUUUUCACAGGGCACAAGUCAACCAGCAGGGGAACCAAGAAGUUACUUUCCCCCCCGGAUGCCGAUACACCAUCCCCCGUCCUCACUCCCCCAACAUCCCCUCAGGACAUGCCCUCCAGGGUCAUCCCAACCCCCCACACUGACCCCAGUGCCUCCUGCAGCACAAGGAAUAGCAGACAUAAUGAGCAAUGAGCUAAUUGUGUGUGUGUGUGUGUGUGUUUAGGCUGAAACUGACAUAGGUUUGUUUUAGGAUGAUGGACUGAGGACACAACCUGGGACAUAAUGUGAAUGAAAUCAUUACCCUUCAUCUCAUCAUCAUCUCCCCUUUUAGCAGCAAGUUAUUGAUGGUUUGUGUCUUCUGACCAUUGUCAUAACUCUGUUAAAGUUGAAAUCUGAACCAUUAAAGUUACACAUUAAUGUGAGGUUCCUCUCAUUUUUAUCGCAAGGUUUUAAGGCUGUCCAUCGUCUAUGUCCCAUGAUUAGGUGGUCAAGUUUUCAGCUCUGAAUGUACCUCUGUACACAUUCAUUCUUACAUUCCUACCCACUAAUAAUAAUAAUGAGAAUCAGAUCAGUGGUAUGUACUAGA